Molecule: ribosomal RNA, 2273 nt
Filed under: Salmonella enterica
Lineage: Bacteria; Pseudomonadati; Pseudomonadota; Gammaproteobacteria; Enterobacterales; Enterobacteriaceae
Description: partial 23S ribosomal RNA
Rfam family: Bacterial large subunit ribosomal RNA
Source: RNAcentral
CGGGCGUUAAGUUGCAGGGUAUAGACCCGAAACCCGGUGAUCUAGCCAUGGGCAGGUUGAAGGUUGGGUAACACUAACUGGAGGACCGAACCGACUAAUGUUGAAAAAUUAGCGGAUGACCUGUGGCUGGGGGUGAAAGGCCAAUCAAACCGGGAGAUAGCUGGUUCUCCCCGAAAGCUAUUUAGGUAGCGCCUCGUGAAUUCAUCUCCGGGGGUAGAGCACUGUUUCGGCUAGGGGGCCAUCCCGGCUUACCAACCCGAUGCAAACUGCGAAUACCGGAGAAUGUUAUCACGGGAGACACACGGCGGGUGCUAACGUCCGUCGUGAAGAGGGAAACAACCCAGACCGCCAGCUAAGGUCCCAAAGUCAUGGUUAAGUGGGAAACGAUGUGGGAAGGCCCAGACAGCCAGGAUGUUGGCUUAGAAGCAGCCAUCAUUUAAAGAAAGCGUAAUAGCUCACUGGUCGAGUCGGCCUGCGCGGAAGAUGUAACGGGGCUAAACCAUGCACCGAAGCUGCGGCAGCGACGCUGAUGCGUUGUUGGGUAGGGGAGCGUUCUGUAAGCCUGCGAAGGUGGCCUGUGAGGGUUGCUGGAGGUAUCAGAAGUGCGAAUGCUGACAUAAGUAACGAUAAAGCGGGUGAAAAGCCCGCUCGCCGGAAGACCAAGGGUUCCUGUCCAACGUUAAUCGGGGCAGGGUGAGUCGACCCCUAAGGCGAGGCCGAAAGGCGUAGUCGAUGGGAAACGGGUUAAUAUUCCCGUACUUGGUGUUACUGCGAAGGGGGGACGGAGAAGGCUAUGUUGGCCGGGCGACGGUUGUCCCGGUUUAAGCGUGUAGGUGUGUGUUCCAGGUAAAUCCGGUUCACUUUAACACUGAGGCGUGAUGACGAGGCACUACGGUGCUGAAGCAACAAAUGCCCUGCUUCCAGGAAAAGCCUCUAAGCAUCAGGUAACAUCAAAUCGUACCCCAAACCGACACAGGUGGUCAGGUAGAGAAUACCAAGGCGCUUGAGAGAACUCGGGUGAAGGAACUAGGCAAAAUGGUGCCGUAACUUCGGGAGAAGGCACGCUGACACGUAGGUGAAGUGAUUUACUCAUGGAGCUGAAGUCAGUCGAAGAUACCAGCUGGCUGCAACUGUUUAUUAAAAACACAGCACUGUGCAAACACGAAAGUGGACGUAUACGGUGUGACGCCUGCCCGGUGCCGGAAGGUUAAUUGAUGGGGUCAGCGCAAGCGAAGCUCCUGAUCGAAGCCCCGGUAAACGGCGGCCGUAACUAUAACGGUCCUAAGGUAGCGAAAUUCCUUGUCGGGUAAGUUCCGACCUGCACGAAUGGCGUAAUGAUGGCCAGGCUGUCUCCACCCGAGACUCAGUGAAAUUGAACUCGCUGUGAAGAUGCAGUGUACCCGCGGCAAGACGGAAAGACCCCGUGAACCUUUACUAUAGCUUGACACUGAACAUUGAGCCUUGAUGUGUAGGAUAGGUGGGAGGCUUUGAAGUGUGGACGCCAGUCUGCAUGGAGCCGGCCUUGAAAUACCACCCUUUAAUGUUUGAUGUUCUAACGUGGACCCGUGAUCCGGGUUGCGGACAGUGUCUGGUGGGUAGUUUGACUGGGGCGGUCUCCUCCUAAAGAGUAACGGAGGAGCACGAAGGUUGGCUAAUCCUGGUCGGACAUCAGGAGGUUAGUGCAAUGGCAUAAGCCAGCUUGACUGCGAGCGUGACGGCGCGAGCAGGUGCGAAAGCAGGUCAUAGUGAUCCGGUGGUUCUGAAUGGAAGGGCCAUCGCUCAACGGAUAAAAGGUACUCCGGGGAUAACAGGCUGAUACCGCCCAAGAGUUCAUAUCGACGGCGGUGUUUGGCACCUCGAUGUCGGCUCAUCACAUCCUGGGGCUGAAGUAGGUCCCAAGGGUAUGGCUGUUCGCCAUUUAAAGUGGUACGCGAGCUGGGUUUAGAACGUCGUGAGACAGUUCGGUCCCUAUCUGCCGUGGGCGCUGGAGAACUGAGGGGGGCUGCUCCUAGUACGAGAGGACCGGAGUGGACGCAUCACUGGUGUUCGGGUUGUCAUGCCAAUGGCACUGCCCGGUAGCUAAAUGCGGAAGAGAUAAGUGCUGAAAGCAUCUAAGCACGAAACUUGCCCCGAGAUGAGUUCUCCCUGAGACUUAGAGUCUCCUGAAGGAACGUUGAAGACGACGACGUUGAUAGGCCGGGUGUGUAAGCGCAGCGAUGCGUUGAGCUAACCGGUACUAAUGAACCGUGAGGCUUAACCUUACAACGCCGAAG